This 490-nucleotide ribosomal RNA is filed under the name uncultured bacterium. RNAcentral describes it as "partial 16S ribosomal RNA". It matches the Rfam family "Bacterial small subunit ribosomal RNA", at positions 29 to 507 of the family's 1533-position model. The record is from RNAcentral.
AGUGAACGCUGGCGGUAGGCCUAACACAUGCAAGUCGAACGGCAGCACAGGAGAGCUUGCUCUCUGGGUGGCGAGUGGCGGACGGGUGAGGAAUACAUCGGAAUCUGCCCAGUCGUGGGGGAUAACGUAGGGAAACUUACGCUAAUACCGCAUACGACCUUCGGGUGAAAGAGGGGGAUCGCAAGACCUCUCGCGAUUGGAUGAGCCGAGGUCGGAUUAGCUAGUUGGCGGGGUAAUGGCCCACCAAGGCGACGAUCCGUAGCUGGUCUGAGAGGAUGAUCAGCCACACUGGAACUGAGACACGGUCCAGACUCCUACGGGAGGCAGCAGUGGGGAAUAUUGGACAAUGGGCGCAAGCCUGAUCCAGCCAUACCGCGUGGGUGAAGAAGGCCUUCGGGUUGUAAAGCCCUUUUGUUGGGAAAGAAAUCUUUCAGGCUAAUACCCUGGGAGGAUGACGGUACCCAAAGAAUAAGCACCGGCUAACUUCGUG